AGUGAACGCUGGCGGUAGGCCUAACACAUGCAAGUCGAACGGCAGCACAGUAAGAGUUUGCUCUUACGGGUGGCGAGUGACGGCCGGGUGAGGCAUACAUCGGAAUCUACUUUUUCGUGGGGGAUCACGAAGGGAAACUUACGCUAAUACCGCAUCCGCCCUACGGGUGACAGCAGGGGACCUUCGGACCUCGCGCGAUUGAAUGCGCCGAUGUCGGAUUAGCGAGUUGGCGGGGUAAAGGCCCCCCAAGGCGACGAUCCGUAGCUGGCCUGAGAGGAUGAUCAGCCACACUGGAACUAAGACCCGGUCCAGACUCCUAGGGGAGGCACCAGUGGGGAAUAUUGGACAAUGGGCGCAAGCCUGAUCCAGCCAUACCGCGUGAGUGAAGAAGGCCUUCGGGGUGUAAAGCCCUUUUGUUGGGAAAGAAAAGCAGCAGCUUAAUACCCCGCUGUUCUGACGGUACCCAAAGAAUAAGCACCGGCUAACUUCGUG
RNAcentral lists this ribosomal RNA (492 nucleotides) under uncultured bacterium. RNAcentral describes it as "partial 16S ribosomal RNA". It matches the Rfam family "Bacterial small subunit ribosomal RNA", at positions 29 to 507 of the family's 1533-position model. The record is from RNAcentral.